Molecule: ribosomal RNA, 499 nt
Filed under: uncultured bacterium
Lineage: Bacteria
Description: partial 16S ribosomal RNA
Rfam family: Bacterial small subunit ribosomal RNA
Source: RNAcentral
AACGAACGCUGGCGGCGUGCCUAACACAUGCAAGUCGAACGAGAAAGUCCUUCGGGAUGAGUAGAGUGGCGCACGGGUGAGUAAGGAAUAGGAACGUACCUUUUGGAGGGGGAUAACUACGGGAAACCGUGGCUAAUACCGCAUGAGAUCGAGAGAUAAAAGGAGGCCUCUGCUUGCAAGCUUCCGCCGAUAGAGCGGCCUAUUUCCCAUUAGCUAGUUGGUAGGGUAAAAGCCUACCAAGGCGACGAUGGGUAGCUGGUCUGAGAGGACGAUCAGCCACACUGGAACUGAGACACGGUCCAGACUCCUACGGGAGGCAGCAGUGGGGAAUAUUGCACAAUGGGCGCAAGCCUGAUGCAGCCAUGCCGCGUGUAUGAAGAAGGCCUUCGGGUUGUAAAGUACUUUCAGCGGGGAGGAAGGCGGUGGAGUUAAUAGCUUCACCGAUUGACGUUACCCGCAGAAGAAGCACCGGCUAACUCCGUGCCAGCCGCCGCGGUAA